UGUUUUAAGUUCUUCUCAUUUUGUCAGUGUUCUUCUUGUGUUCAAGAAAUAUAGGGUCCCCUAUAUUCCUUAUCUACAUCAUAAAUAAAACCUAUAGCUUGAAGUGUACAUCUCAAACUUUUGAGGUGAGCGCACGUCAAAAAUUGUGAGGUGUAUGCCUCACUAAAACCAAAUGCGACGUACACCUCAAACUGAGGCAUGCCUCAAAGCAUAAAGUCAUGGAGUUGAGACUAGAUAGAGUGGAUUCCAUAGGUGAGUGGGAAUCCCAGGAUGUUUUCACACUUUCCCUCAAGUGAAUGAAUGAAUGACAUCUAUUACAAAUUUGCUUGAUAAUUUUUUGAAAGAUUGCUCUUGGCAAUUUAAUAAACCAACUAAGAGCGGGAAGAAUGUUAUGCAUACUUGUACUAACCAUCUAUUGGAGAACAAUUUAUUGGCUUCCUUAAAAGCCUACCCAAAAUUGUUUGGAUAAAGGCCAAUGAUGAUGGUGGUGGAUGCUAUAUGGAAUAGACAGUGAGGACAUUCCUAUCCUGGUUUGAAAUAGCGUGCAACAAGAAAGGUGUUCUAAAACUGUAAUAAUCGUGUGUAUUAUGUUUUUGUUGAAACAUGUUAAUUUUAAGCAAUUAUUAUAACCAGCUAUAGUAUAUAUAAAAAACUUUAGUCUUGUAUUAGGGCACUUUAAUGAAAUUAAUUUACUGCUGAAUAAAAUUGAACGAUUUAUGUUUCCACUUUCUAAGACAUUUUUUAUUUUUCUCUCUUUCCCCUUCUUUUGUCCCUUCUCUCUCUUAUCUUCUCCAUUAAACGAUUAAGUCUACUUAAAGAACUAUUCUUUUCACAAUUUUCGUUUUUAUUCCUGGAUUCUUGUGUAUAAUGUCUUCUUAAAUAUCCUUGUCCUGGAAGCAGCUCUAAAAAAAAAUGCUGUUUUUUUUGCCCCCAAAGUCUCAAUUUUCUUCUUAUAGAGUCAUUAAAGAAUUAUUGUCAUGCGCUUUGAGCUGCUUUUCUCCAGGGCAAGAACAGUUGUCAAGGUUGGAGGAGAUGCUAUCUUUUGAAAAGCAAAAACGUUAUUGCCAACCAAGCCUACUGCAGCUAUGGUAAAACAAAACCGAGAGAAGUCUGUCCGAAAUGAACUAUUAGUUUGGUUCUAGUGACAGAAUGUCUUCUCAAUAAAGAAAUAGUGGUGUCUUUUGACGAUUGUCGUCAAGCUGGACCAAGGCUUUCCAUUUCUCAAUUUUUGCCAGGAGGAUACCCAUUUCGUUCAUCACAUGAUGCUUUCUUCCUCUACCACUGCAUCUUGUGUAAUAAGGAUAGGAACAAUAAUUUACAGCAGCAGCUUGAUGCGCUUUCAUUUUCAAGCAAAAGAAAGGUGUCCAAGGCGAAGGGUCCAGAAAAAUUAUCCCUUGCUUAUGAUAACAUAGGAACUAAAGAAUUGGUGAUUUCUGAAGCGGAACAAACAGCUAACACCACUAGUGUGGACAAACCACCAUCAAAAGAUGCUCAACCCUUGAAAGGAAGCCAGAGGGCUGUACCUGCACAUCGCCGAGCAAAAGCAAGAGGUGUUUCUUUGCAAGAUAAUGAGGAUGAUGAUGGAAAAUAGACAUUGUAGAUUUACUGAACGCUGGUUUUGGACAAUAAGAGUAUAUGUACAGAAUAAUCAACAACAGGUUAUGCCUUUGCAACAAAAUUGAAUAGUAGCUUAAUUUAUUUGAAUGCAUUUGGUGCAAAAGAAUAAAAGAUAAAAAGGAAAUAAAAAUAUGUUAGAUUUGAAGUAUUGCAGAUAUUAUUUGUAAUCCAAGCUGUCUCUAUUGUCAUGCUCAUCCAAGCUGCAAUUUGUACAACAUUAACACGUUUAUUUAGUUUUUUUUUUUUUUCAUUUUCCAAUGAGAUUAGAAUAGAAAUUUUUAAGCAGGAGACCUUGUUUUGGUUCUGUUUGAGCUCUGCUUUGUCUUUAAGAAAAUAAUUACUGUGUUCAAGUUUA
RNA transcript from Dendrobium catenatum, 1972 nucleotides. RefSeq lists it as uncharacterized. Lineage: Eukaryota; Viridiplantae; Streptophyta; Magnoliopsida; Asparagales; Orchidaceae. The transcript has 5 exons. The record is from RefSeq and is a predicted model, not a curated record.